AUACUUGUUGCGGAACUUGUGAUUCCACCGUCUGGUUCAUUCAGUAAACGCUCAAGGGACUGUAUUUUAUAAUUGUAUUGAUUAUAAUAUGUGAAAGUAUACUAUUUACAACGUGAGUUUUAGACUGUUAAACAUUCCGAUUGUCUCGCUACGAUCUGACAGCAACAAUGACAUUCAAUCACUCCCUAGCUAUUUGAUUACCCUACCAAAUUACAAUGUGUCACUGUGACGUAUCAAUUUACACAUACAAAGACUUAUUUACGAUUUAACAUGAAUUACGUCAAUCACAAUACUGAUAUAUUACAUGAAGUAUAUUUAAAGUUGAAUGAAUUGGCGGCGCUGCGCUGGGAACCUACGACACCCCACCCACCUUGAUUCAUAAAGGUCUAUGAAUCAAGCAUCGCCUUUGUCUUCGCUUUGGAAAUUGCUGCAGCAGCCCGUCUCGGACGAUCAUGCAAGACAUGCAAGGACCCGUCUGCCUUAGCUAUGGGGGAAUCCUUUCCCUGCCCAUUCCCACCCGGUCGAGCUUGAACCUCCAAUGGGAAUAACUUCUGUAUAGGCCUAUUCAAAUAGACUGGUCUACCCUUGCCUGCAACCUUUACUUUGGCCCCUCGGACCUCCUUUUCCUUACCUACAAUUAACUCUUCUACAACUCCUAACUUCCAACCACAUCUCUUUCCUCCUUCUCCGUACACUGUCACUACGUCUCCCUUCUUUACUUCUCUCAAUCUACCUCCGUUUUUGCAUUUAUGGAACUCUCUCAACCCUGUUAGAUACUCCUUUUGCCACCUCUUCCAGAAGUGCUCUAACUUUAACGACACGUACUUAAAUCUCUCCUCACAACUAUUCUCGUCUUUAGUAACUUCGUUCUGUGGCAUAAUAUUAAUUGCUCUACCAUAUAUUAAGUGUGAAGGAGUUAAGACUUCACCAUCAAAUUCUUCGUAUUCAUCAGUCAACGGUCUUGCAUCUAAUGUACCUUCAACUUCAACUAAAACUGUAUUAAGUUCGUCGAACGUUAACCUAGCAUUCCCUAAAGUCUUCCUAAGACACCUUUUCACGCUUCGUACCAUCCUCUCAAAAACUCCACCCCACCAGGGUGCCCUCUCUAAGUUGAACCUCCAGGUUAUUCGCUUCGUCUG
RNAcentral lists this long non-coding RNA (1139 nucleotides) under Paramuricea clavata. Lineage: Eukaryota; Metazoa; Cnidaria; Anthozoa; Malacalcyonacea; Plexauridae. The record is from RNAcentral.